CAAGAGCGUAUGUAAAAGUUGUUGCAGUUAAAAAGCUCGUAGUUGAACCUUGGGUUUGGUUGGCCGGUCCGCUUUUUUGCGAGUACUGGAUUCAACCGAGCCUUUCCUUCUGGCUAACCAGUCGUUUCGGCGGCUGGCGAACCAGGAUUUUUACUUUGAGAAAAUUAGAGUGUUCAAAGCAGGCAUUAGCUUGAAUAUAUUAGCAUGGAAUAAUAGAAUAGGACGUUAUGGUUCUAUUUUGUUGGUUUCUAGGACCAUCGUAAUGAUUAAUAGGGACGGUCGGGGGCAUCAGUAUUCAGUUGUCAGAGGUGAAAUUCUUGGAUUCACUGAAGACUAACUACUGCGAAAGCAUUUGCCAAGGACGUUUUCAUUAA
This 374-nucleotide ribosomal RNA is filed under the name uncultured eukaryote. Its description in RNAcentral is "partial 18S ribosomal RNA". It matches the Rfam family "Eukaryotic small subunit ribosomal RNA", at positions 592 to 976 of the family's 1831-position model. The record is from RNAcentral.